This 253-nucleotide ribosomal RNA is filed under the name uncultured bacterium. RNAcentral's name for it is "partial 16S ribosomal RNA". It matches the Rfam family "Bacterial small subunit ribosomal RNA", at positions 524 to 776 of the family's 1533-position model. The record is from RNAcentral.
UACGUAGGGGGCAAGCGUUGUCCGGAUUUAUUGGACGUAAAGAGCGUGUAGGCGGUUAGGUAGGUCCGUUGUGAAAACUCGAGGCUCAACCUCGAGACGCCGAUGGAAACCAUCUGACUAGAGUCCGGAAGAGGAGAGUGGAAUUCCUGGUGUAGCGGUGAAAUGCGCAGAUAUCAGGAAGAACACCCGUGGCUAAGGCGGCUCUCUGGUACGUGACUGACGCUGAGACGCGAAAGCGUGGGGAGCGAACAGG